UGGGGAAUCUUGGACAAUGGGGGAAACCCUGAUCCAGCCAUGCCGCGUGAGUGAAGAAGGCCCUAGGGUUGUAAAGCUCUUUCAGUGGUGCAGAUAAUGACGGUAGCCACAGAAGAAGCCCCGGCUAACUCCGUGCCAGCAGCCGCGGUAAUACGGAGGGGGCUAGCGUUGUCCGGAAUUACUGGGCGUAAAGCGCACGUAGGCGGAUGAUCAAGUUGGGGGUGAAAGCCCGGAGCUCAACUCCGGAACUGCCUCCAAAACUGAUCGUCUCGAGUCCGGGAGAGGUGAGUGGAAUUCCUAGUGUAGAGGUGAAAUUCGUAGAUAUUAGGAAGAACACCAGUGGCGAAGGCGGCUCACUGGCCCGGUUACUGACGCUGAGGUGCGAAAGCGUGGGGAGCAAACAGGAUUAGAUACCCCGGUAGUCC
RNAcentral lists this ribosomal RNA (425 nucleotides) under uncultured prokaryote. Its description in RNAcentral is "bacterial SSU rRNA". It matches the Rfam family "Bacterial small subunit ribosomal RNA", at positions 355 to 796 of the family's 1533-position model. The record is from RNAcentral.